AGAGUUUGAUCAUGGCUCAGGAUGAACGCUAGCUACAGGCUUAACACAUGCAAGUCGAGGGGCAGCGGGGAAGAAGCUUGCUUUUUCCGCCGGCGACCGGCGCACGGGUGCGUAACGCGUAUCGAACCUACCCCACACUCGGGAAUAGCCUUGCGAAAGUAAGAUUAAUGCCCGAUGUUUUCAAUUGCCCGCAUGGGCUGUUGAACAAAGAUUCAUCGGUAUGGGAUGGCGAUGCGUAGCAUUAGGUAGUAGGCGGGGUAACGGCCCACCUAGCCGACGAUGCUUAGGGGUUCUGAGAGGAAGGUCCCCCACAUUGGAACCGAGACACGGUCCAAACUCCUACGGGAGGCAGCAGUGAGGAAUAUUGGUCAAUGGCCGAGAGGCUGAACCAGCCAAGUAGCGUGCAGGAUGACGGCCCUCCGGGUUGUAAACUGCUUUUAGUUGGGAAUAAAAGACGCCACGUGUGGCGUGUAUUGUAUGUACCAUCAGAAAAAGGACCGGCUAAUUCCGUGCCAGCAGCCGCGGUAAUACGGAAGGUCCGGGCGUUAUCCGGAUUUAUUGGGUUUAAAGGGAGCGCAGGCGGACUGGUAAGUCAGCUGUGAAAGUUCGGGGCUCAACCUUGAAAUUGCAGUUGAUACUGUCAGUCUUGAGUGCACGCAGGGGUGCUGGAAUUCAUGGUGUAGCGGUGAAAUGCUUAGAUAUCAUGAAGAACUCCGAUCGCGAAGGCAUGUGCCCGGAGUGCAACUGACGCUGAGGCUCGAAAGUGCGGGUAUCAAACAGGAUUAGAUACCCUGGUAGUCCGCACAGUAAACGAUGAAUACUCGCGGUUUGCGAUACAAUGUAAGCCGCCAAGCGAA
This 857-nucleotide ribosomal RNA is filed under the name uncultured bacterium. RNAcentral describes it as "bacterial SSU rRNA". It matches the Rfam family "Bacterial small subunit ribosomal RNA", at positions 8 to 855 of the family's 1533-position model. The record is from RNAcentral.